CAGCUGCUUGUUUAUGUUUAAGCAUUUUAUUAUUGUAUGUAUUUUGGUAUUUGUUUGAAGGUUUUAUCGGACAUCGGAUAAUUCAAGCCACAUACCUGAUUGCGAAACGAUAGAUAUGGAAGAUUCCAAGGAUACAGUCAUCGUGAUUGGGUGCGGAAAACUAAAGGGCCCUCAGUUCAUAGAGUUGUUUAAGGGGGUUGGACCAAUAAAGGUUGCAUACGACGGCAACACACUGGCCCGGAUAAACCUACAGCGUCAAGAGGGAAUCGUGACCUAUCAGAACUCCGAGCUUGCCAAAAAGCCAUUGCAACCUUGAACGGUAUUUUUCAGAAAUGUAGUUCGAUCGUUCGUUGUUUAUCAGGCAAUUAAUAAUUAAUUAUAGCAUUAUGAUGCAUAGUUACUUUUGCUUCAGAGCGUACGUUGUUUAUUUACCGCUAAAACGAUUGUGCGAAAAAUUAUUUGAGUUUUACAUUAUAUAUAUAAGACAUGCAUUAUAAUUUUGUUUUGGAACUAUUUUCCCAUGCUCAACUCAAAAUCGGGACUACUUUUUGCGAUGUGCAUAUAAUAUACAAGGUAUUUUCAAAGAAAAAUCCAUAUCGAUCAGGAAUCAAAGCAUCGUAUUGCAUCAUUUUCAGCAAAUUA
Long non-coding RNA from Dreissena polymorpha, 642 nucleotides. RefSeq lists it as uncharacterized. The record is from RefSeq and is a predicted model, not a curated record. The transcript has 3 exons. Lineage: Eukaryota; Metazoa; Mollusca; Bivalvia; Myida; Dreissenidae.